AGGGAGGGACUCAGCUGUGAGCGGUCAGCCACCAACACUCCUGAGACCUGGUCCUGAAGGGCGAUCAGGGUGGCACACACAGUGUCUGCUACACCAGCCUUUAGCUGAGACAGCUGAGGAGAGCAGGGCAGUUCUGAUGCCCCGAAGACAAGAAGGCAGAGGAUGAAGGACUUUCUUUUUCAGUUCAGUUCCAUACAUAUUGUCUAACACUGACCAUAUGCCAAACUUUGGGCUGGUCCCUGAGGAUAUGCAGAGGAGUCACUGUCCCUGCCAUCGAGGAGCUCAAAGACGAGUGGAGAAGAAAGACGAAGCCUGGCUUUGUGGUUAUAAACUCAACUUUUAGAGUCAGACAGGAGAGUGAAAUCUGAGUCCUGCCAUACCUGACCUUGAGCUCCAAGAUCGUUCAUUUUCUCCUCUGCAAAAUGAGGAUGUGAUGUCAACCUCAUAGGGAUCUUGUAAGAAUUAACCGAGAUAAUGCAUCGGGUCUAUGCACAUGACCUGAAAUGGUCUACAGCCACCUAGGAGUCACUGGGUCCAACCACUUGAUCUUACAGAUGCAGAAACUGAGGUCGCAGGACUCUUAGCAACACCAGAGCCAUGGCUCUGCCUGUCUUUUUCACAGUUUGUAUUCCCAGUGCCUCGCACACAGAAGGUGCUCAAUAAACACUCGUGUAACGCUUGUAGAAUACUUGUUGCCCUUUGGUUGCAUCAGCUUAUCAGGCUAGACCUGAGUGCCCAGGCUGUCCCAACUUGGGCUCUGCCUUUCCUCUCCCCCAGCCUCCAGAAAUUCCUCACCACGUUCAGUUUUGGGCUUAUUAGCAAAUGCAAAUUGAAUUACGCUGUGCCCUUUCCCAACAAGGACAACAAAAACAGUUUCCCCAGAAAAAGAGGGCGAGAAGAGGUGAAAGCUGGGAUGAAAGUAGAAGACAAUACAUUCUAAUCAAACUUGAUAAAUAUGCAAAUUAAAGCAGCUAAACAGUUGGCUUUGACAAAUGACUUCUCAGUAAUGGAUUUUUCCACAGUGAAAGGCGAGAGUUCAGCCAGCCUGGUCGUCACCAGAGGAGCCCUCUCCUGCUUUCCUGGUAAUGCGGGCGACGCGGAAGGCACCAGGAUGCCAGGAGGCGAGCACAGCACUAACCUUGCUUUUAAUAGACGCCAUUUAUCGGGCUUGCCUGCUGGCUGCUAGGCACACCCUCCCUCAGCCCGGCAGAGGGAGGAGCCCUGCCUCAUGCCCCAGGGAGCUGAGGGCAAGGCCAGUGAGGGCCAGAUUCACAUUUCGCCGAGGGACCCAAGCAACCAGCUGUUGAGGAACAUAAGUUGAAUCCUGCCGGUAGUUUUACUGCCUUCCGGGGGUCUCACCAACUCACAACUGUUGGAGUCAGCCCACCUGAAGGUCCAGACAGCCUGGAGCAGAGAAGAAGGGUCAGACCACGGACUCUGCAAAAUACAGUCGUGUACCGCACAACGACAUUUCCGUCAACCAAAGACCGCAUGUACGACGGUGGUCCCAGAAGAUCAGUACCAUAGAGCCUGGGUGUGUGAUAGGCUGUGCCAUCUAGGUCUGUGUAAGUGCACUCUAUGAAGUUCACACAACGACAAAAUCAGCUAAGGACACAUUUCUCAGAAUGUAUCUUGGAUCUUAAGCAACGCGUGAUUGUACAAAGCAAUUAUCAUUGUAAGCACUAAAUUUGAGGGUGGGGGAUGUUAUUACUUAACAAAAGAUAAGCAGAAUAAUUGCUGUGAAAUGGAUAUUCUAGUAGGUUAUAAUACAGCAGUCAGGUGAGGGGUGGUUGAAAAGGACCAGGUUUUGAGCAGUUACUGUGUGCCAGGUAUAUUUUAUACACUAUAAUCGAGGUCUCACCAGGCCUGGCGAGAAUUGUAUUGUUUUCCUCGUAUCAUAGAUAACAAAUCUGAGGUGACGUGCAUUGCCCAGGGCCAACCCAGCUAGCAAGAGUCUCAGCUGGAAUUUGAACCCGGUCUUUCUAUCUCCUGAGCCCACUCUUUUUUCUGACACCUCCAAGGGUGGUCCUUCCCCAGGUAUAUCAGGGGAAAGCUCCUGCCCCAGGUAUAUCAGGGGAAAGCUCCUGCCCCAGGUGUAUCAGGGGAAAGCUCCUGCCCCAGGUGUAUCAGGGGAAAGCUCCUGCCCCAGGUAUAUCAGGGGAAAGAUGCUCUGUAGGUACACGUGCUCAGUCGCAUGCACACGUCUGCUUCUGACUCAAACUCCCACAAAUUCCUGAGUUUUUGUACAAAGUUAUCAGAGCUGAGGUGCAAGCAGAAAUUUAUGUUGAAUGGUUUGCAGUCUCAGAAAGACACUAUUAAUACAAUCUCCCCAAACAGAGCACCAACAUUUAGGAACCCUCAAAGUGCUUCAGGAAAAGAGUUUCCUCGUAGAGCUGGGAGUAAUGCGAUCCAGGCCCUGAGCCGAAGACCUGUCUUGCCUGACGCUGGAGGAAUUUAGAUUUGAAGAGUGUUCUUUCUUUCCUAUUGAGAUCUUCAUUGACUUGUAUAAAAAUACCACUUUCAAUCUCAAAUCCCCACUGGCAUCUUUAUAUAAGCACCGAAAAUGCUACUGGGCUUUGGAGAUUUCAUUUAAUGAAGGAAAAGUAUUUCUAUUAAAGAGUGUAAUUUUUUUUCCUCUCUCAACACAACAUCUUCCGAGGAGCCGAAGAGGCUGGAUUGUUCUGGGCUCUGAGAAAAUGAACCAGCCCAUGCCUCACCCAUGAGCGGGUUAAAUAGACUACAGAAUAGCAGCAGCCAAGGAAGGCGGGGAAGGAUCAGCAAUAAGGGGAAAAUAAGGGUAAUUAUAAUAAAUAAACUCCCAUAUACCCAUGACUUUACAGUUUAGGAAGCACUUUGGGCUCAAUAGGGAGAUAUUUCUGUUGCCAACUCCCCCACCCUCGUGUGCUGUGUGAACCACAGCAGCAGCCUCUGCCCUGCUGUCCCUUCUCAGGGACCUUGGUCUCACUCUUCUGCUUCCAGUCCUGUGCUGGCUUCCCUGGGCACUAGAAACUAACCCAGGCUAGGACCCGUCCUGCUUCUCCCCCACCCACGCCCCACCCUCACCUCUGGCCCCUCUCUCACUUGCUCAUCCUGCCUCCUCACACUGGUUUCCUUCUAGUUCCUCUGCUCUCCGUCUGGAGGACUCCCCUGGGUUCUGUGGGGCUGGCUCCUUACCCCUCAGGGCUCCUCCCACGAGAACGGUAGCUCCACGGCGGCGGGAACUUUGCUUAUUAACCGCUGUGGACCCAGGUCUGACAUGGCACCUGGCAGCUACACAC
Equus quagga is the source of this 3278-nucleotide long non-coding RNA. RefSeq lists it as uncharacterized. The transcript has 3 exons. The record is from RefSeq and is a predicted model, not a curated record. NCBI's taxonomy places the organism in Eukaryota, Metazoa, Chordata, Mammalia, Perissodactyla, Equidae.